CUCUGCCCCCCAGCUCACCAAGAGAGCUAGCUCCCUUUGGGUUCGGUCUUUGUGUGCUGGCUGAUUGAGAGAUCGCCGUUUUUUGCUUCACUGUGUUACAGUUGUGCUUUCUACCAUUAGGAAGAUAGUUAUUUCAUGUCUCUUUUUCCGUUUUAUAGUGGUUUUCAACAGAAGGGCUGGCCCAGGCCCAACUCCUCUACCAGGGGAAGAACACUUGUGGGGAAGCCGACUGAUGCGAAUGAGAGAAGCCCAAGACCGUGUCAGAAGGGCAGGGCUUUGACAUAUUUCCAUUCAUUCUUUGGUACACGUUCCUUAAGUAAACUCCAGGUGCAAGACUGA
RNAcentral lists this long non-coding RNA (339 nucleotides) under Chinchilla lanigera (long-tailed chinchilla). Its description in RNAcentral is "lncRNA (ENSCLAG00000028381.1)". Lineage: Eukaryota; Metazoa; Chordata; Mammalia; Rodentia; Chinchillidae. The record is from RNAcentral.